RNAcentral lists this ribosomal RNA (451 nucleotides) under uncultured Sphingobacteriales bacterium. RNAcentral's name for it is "bacterial SSU rRNA". It matches the Rfam family "Bacterial small subunit ribosomal RNA", at positions 929 to 1382 of the family's 1533-position model. The record is from RNAcentral. Lineage: Bacteria; Pseudomonadati; Bacteroidota; Sphingobacteriia; Sphingobacteriales.
GCGGUGGAGCAUGUGGUUAAUUCGAUGAUACGCGAGGAACCUUACCUGGGCUCAAAUGUAUGUUGACGUAUUCUGAAAGGGAUACUUCUUCGGACAAUAUACAAGGUGCUGCAUGGUUGUCGUCAGCUCGUGCCGUGAGGUGUCGGGUUAAGUCCCAUAACGAGCGCAACCCCUAUCAUUAGUUGCCAUCAGGUCAAGCUGGGGACUCUAAUGAAACUGCCUACGCAAGUAGUGAGGAAGGUGGGGAUGACGUCAAAUCAGCACGGCCCUUACGUCCAGGGCUACACACGUGCUACAAUGGCCGGCACAACGGGAAGCGAGUUCGCGAGGACGAGCGGAUCCCUUAAAGCCGGUCGCAGUUCGGAUUGAAGUCUGCAACUCGACUUCAUGAAGCUGGAAUCGCUAGUAAUCGUGGAUCAGCCAAGCCGCGGUGAAUACGUUCCCGGGCCUU